GAGGGUACAGCUCAGUGGUAGAGCACAUGCUUAGUAUGCAUGAGGUUCUGGGUUCGAUCCUCAGUAUCUCUG
This 72-nucleotide transfer RNA is filed under the name Camelus bactrianus (Bactrian camel). It matches the Rfam family "tRNA". From Rfam's summary of the family: Transfer RNA (tRNA) molecules are approximately 80 nucleotides in length. The record is from Rfam by way of RNAcentral. RNAcentral also lists the same sequence under 2 other names. Lineage: Eukaryota; Metazoa; Chordata; Mammalia; Artiodactyla; Camelidae.